Molecule: non-coding RNA, 110 nt
Filed under: Trichlorobacter lovleyi
Lineage: Bacteria; Pseudomonadati; Thermodesulfobacteriota; Desulfuromonadia; Geobacterales; Geobacteraceae
Also listed under: 1 other name
Description: Geobacter lovleyi SAM-I sequence
Rfam family: SAM riboswitch aptamer (S box leader)
About the family: The SAM riboswitch is found upstream of a number of genes which code for proteins involved in methionine or cysteine biosynthesis in Gram-positive bacteria. The SAM riboswitch acts at the level of transcription termination control.
Source: RNAcentral
UUCUUAUCAAGAGCGACCGAGGGACUGGCCCGGUGACGUCGCGGCAACCCGCCUGAAAAGGUACGGUGCCAAUUCCAGCAAAGCCGCACAGCGGUUUUGACAGAUAAGGA